CUCGAAGGGUCAGAGAAGGUUUAAACAGGAAGCUAACAACCAAGAUGAGGCUUGAAGGAGAAAUGGCAGCAGCUAACAGACAAGGAAACGGAGGCUCGCGGUGAAAGGUGGAGCUGGAAUUCAAAGCCAGGAGGUGUGGCUCCAGACUAAAGGGGAAGGAGAGAGCCAGAUAAGAAGCCUUUAAGAAAGAGAGAAGCCUUUGCUAACUUCACAACAGGAAAGCACUCAGGAAAUUCGAGAACAAAACAAAUCUGCUCAUUGAGCCCAGCGUCUUCAAGCAAAUACGCUGAGGUACGCGACCGAAGCAAGACGACUCUGGACUAUUAAUGAGGCAGCUGCCUCUUAAACUGCAGGGGACGGAAGAAGUCAUUUACCUCUUUAAAAAAAUCUGAAUACAAGUGGAUAAUGAAUAUUCAUGAUCCCCUUCAGCUGCCUCAAGAGCCACCCUAGACAACAACCACGGGGCUUUACAGUCUUAAAAAGUUUCCCAAAGUUCUUUCUCUGCCUCCUCUCAGAAGGAGAGGGUGGGAGAGAUCAUUUAGGGCUUUUUGCCUCUUGGUUUUUCAAGUAUUUGCUUUUGGUCUGGGCUUUGGAUUUUUAUUUUUUCCUCUGUUUUCCUUUUUUUUUUUUUCUUUUUUGUUCUUAAGGAUUUCGGAUCAAAUCAAUUUUGCUCUUACCCUUUACAUCUUCCAUAAUUGGCAGCUUUUGUUUUCUUCCUCUUUGCUCUUUUUUUUCAGUCUCUGCUUGCUGUGGUCGGUCUCAGUGAGAGAGGUACUCAAGGAACAGAGAUAUAACAGACCCUCAGGCUCGUGGGAGGGGCUAAACUAGCCGGCGGUUUAGGAAGGAACCUCAAACUCCGUCUUUUUCAUUGACUGGAAACGACAGAUUGGCCUUGGCCAGGAAAGUCCGGCUGCUCAUUUCCGUAAAGCUACAAGGAGGCUUCCCCGGGUUGUAACUUUUUGUAUUCGUGUUCAAAUGUCUCACGCGCGCUCUCUUUCUCUCUCAUUGUUACAGAACCCUCCCCCCCCCCCUUGCAAAAUGUAUCUUGGCUGCAAGCAAAAAUGCUAUUUACUUACUGCAAUUUUGAAGCCCGAUAACAAGAAACUUGUUACCUUGAUACCCACUGGGAAAAUUGGGAUGCAAGGACAGUUCUUCCCGCCCCAGGAAGCUGAGCACUGCUGGUUCCUGAUGAGCACGCCCUUUACGGGGCUUAUUAGACCCGAGAAGCAGUGGGUCACCCAAGCGACGGACCAGGACUCCGAGGCAGGAGAAGUCCUGUAAUUGGAGGGAAGGCUUGAUGGAACAUCGAGGAGGCUGCUUGCUGGGAACAGCUGUAGCGCUGUACUGACCCAAGUUAUACACUUUUUUUUUUCCUUCCAAACUAUGAUUCCUGCCUCUGAAGUUUUCUGAGCAGGAACUGCCGCACCCAGGCUUUGCCAACAUGAGCCCAAUGCUGAUAAGACGCCGACCAAAAGAUUUUCAAAACUGUAUGUGAAAUUAUUUUGAAAUCAGGACAAAGCUAAUCCCUCUGAGAGGAAGGGGAGGGAGAGAGGGAGGAAACCAUUGACAUGCAAGAGAAACAUGGAUCGAUCGCCUCCCACGUGCCCCCAACCCGGGACUGGCCAGCAACCCAGCCAUGUGUCCUGACCGGGAAUUGACCAGCGACCUUUCAGCCUUCAGGACAACACUCAACCCACUCCAGUCAGGGCAGGAUGUUCUUAAAUUUAUUUAUGGAAUGUAAUAUUAGAUGUAAAAACUCGGAAAGUGUUAACUGGGACGAGAGUCUCAAGGUCUGGGUGGUUCUUACUAAAGGUUAGAAUGUAAAAUACCCAGCACGUUGCAGACAGAGCUGCAAACAGGACAAGCUGGGCAGGAACCCAAACUCAGCCCCACAGGUGCGGCCGACUGCAGAAGAGAAAUCAACAUGUAAUUCAGUGUGCAUGUGUGUGUGUUGGCAAAAGUAGGUUCACAGCUGUUCGUAUGGAAAAGAACACAGUAAUUAAUAAACAGGAAUACAAGAGUUAACUCUGGCGCUGGCCAGUGUGGCUCAGUUGGCAGAAGCAUCAUCUCGUAGUUGGAAUGUUGUGGGUUCUGUUCCCCGUCGGGGCACAGGCCUAGGUUUCAGGUUUGAUCCCCUGCGUGUACAGUCCCAGUUGGGGUGCCUGCAUUCCCUGGUCCAGGUGUGGAUGGGAGGCAACCAACUGAUGCUUCUCUCUCUCUAAAAAAUAGUGGGGAGAAACGUCCUCAGGUGAGGAUUUUUUUUUUUAAAAGAACAACUCUGUUUUGCAUAUUAUAAACCUACUUUUGCCCAUAUACAAGGUUUGUCCACAAAGUAUCCAGCUAUGUAAAUGUGGGGGAAAAUAAAGACAUUUAUUGAAGAAAAUACUAGAAACUUGUAUAUAGAACAGCGACACCCCAAUUCCCUUCAAAGUAGGCCCCUUUGGACCUCACAUAGUUCUCCCAGCAUCUCUUCCACUGUUCAAAACACUCUUGAGGAAAUCUGGUUCAUUGGUAACAGUUUGAAUCAAGUCAUUAGCAACUGUAGCACAAUGUUCCUUCUGCUCUGGGAGCAUCAUUCCUUCUGGUACAAGCCACGGAACAAAUUUUGCCACAACACAUUUUGUAUCAAGAUCCUGCGUAAAAUCUCCAUAUCAGCUUCUAGUUUUCACACUGCCAGUGGCUGAUCUUUGUUGAUUCCAGCCCGUACAUGUUCAACAUUCUCAGGUGUUCUGCUUGCUGCAGGCCUUCCAGAACGUGGAUCAGUUUCAACAGAUUCUCGACCAUCUUUGAAGCGUUUGUGCUGCACUCUUAUUUGCACUGCACUCAUUGCAUCAUCCCCGAAAGCCUUUGCAUCAUCCAAAUAGUUUCUGUGAAGGAAUGUUCAAGCUUAACGCAAAAUUUGAUGCAGAUUCAUUGCUCUAAGUUUUGGAUGUGAACCCCCUAUGUCCUUUACUUGCUGCAAGUAAAUAAAACUACCUAAGGACAACCGUGUCUCAUUCUUAAAGGGAAUGCCCCAAGUGGUGAAACCCUUGAGUUCAGUAACAGAAGGACCAUACGCACAGUGUGGUUUUCUGUCCAGCGUGCAGUUCCCGUGGUGUGGUUUGAUGACUUGAGGCACUCUCCGUACACCCAACAGCGCCCAAGCAGGCAUUGCGCAAAUUGGGCAGGAUGGUGAUGGUAGUUUCUGCCUCACUGGAGGUCAGGGCUGGGUGGUUGGCCUGACGAGCGUUAUGGUCUCUACAUUGUUUCUAUUUCUCCAUUGAAACAGAAGUCUAU
Molecule: long non-coding RNA, 3276 nt
Organism: Artibeus jamaicensis (Jamaican fruit-eating bat)
Lineage: Eukaryota; Metazoa; Chordata; Mammalia; Chiroptera; Phyllostomidae
Exons: 4
Source: RefSeq, a predicted model, not a curated record